GACGAACGCUGGCGGCGUGCCUAAUACAUGCAAGUCGAACGGAAAGUCUCUGCCUUUGUGUGCUGCUCGAGAGGCGAACGGGUGAGUAACACGUGAGUAAGCUGCCCUUGACUGCGGGAUAACUUCAGGAAACUGGUGCUAAUACCGGAUAGGAGCUCCUACUGCAUGGUGGUGGUUGGAAAGUUGCGGCGGUUUGGGAUGGACUCGCGGGUAAUCAGCUUGUUGGUGGGGUAGUGGCUUACCAAGGUUUUGGUGGGUAGCCGGCCUGAGAGGGUGACCGGCCACAUAGGGACUGAGGUAGGGCCCAGACGGGUACGGGAGGCAGCGGUGGGAAACAUUGCGCAAUAGGCGGAAGCCGGAUACAACGACGUCGGGUGCGGAAUGACGGCCUUCGGGUUGUAAACGGCUUUCGCCUGUAACGAUGAGUGUGUGACGGUAAUGGGUAAAAAAGCACCGGCUAACUACGUG
Molecule: ribosomal RNA, 468 nt
Filed under: uncultured bacterium
Lineage: Bacteria
Description: partial 16S ribosomal RNA
Rfam family: Bacterial small subunit ribosomal RNA
Source: RNAcentral